This 883-nucleotide ribosomal RNA is filed under the name Klebsiella pneumoniae. RNAcentral describes it as "bacterial SSU rRNA". It matches the Rfam family "Bacterial small subunit ribosomal RNA", at positions 58 to 931 of the family's 1533-position model. Lineage: Bacteria; Pseudomonadati; Pseudomonadota; Gammaproteobacteria; Enterobacterales; Enterobacteriaceae. The record is from RNAcentral.
CAAGUCGAGCGGUAGCACAGAGAGCUUGCUCUCGGGUGACGAGCGGCGGACGGGUGAGUAAUGUCUGGGAAACUGCCUGAUGGAGGGGGAUAACUACUGGAAACGGUAGCUAAUACCGCAUAAUGUCGCAAGACCAAAGUGGGGGACCUUCGGGCCUCAUGCCAUCAGAUGUGCCCAGAUGGGAUUAGCUAGUAGGUGGGGUAACGGCUCACCUAGGCGACGAUCCCUAGCUGGUCUGAGAGGAUGACCAGCCACACUGGAACUGAGACACGGUCCAGACUCCUACGGGAGGCAGCAGUGGGGAAUAUUGCACAAUGGGCGCAAGCCUGAUGCAGCCAUGCCGCGUGUGUGAAGAAGGCCUUCGGGUUGUAAAGCACUUUCAGCGGGGAGGAAGGCGUUAAGGUUAAUAACCUUGGCGAUUGACGUUACCCGCAGAAGAAGCACCGGCUAACUCCGUGCCAGCAGCCGCGGUAAUACGGAGGGUGCAAGCGUUAAUCGGAAUUACUGGGCGUAAAGCGCACGCAGGCGGUCUGUCAAGUCGGAUGUGAAAUCCCCGGGCUCAACCUGGGAACUGCAUUCGAAACUGGCAGGCUAGAGUCUUGUAGAGGGGGGUAGAAUUCCAGGUGUAGCGGUGAAAUGCGUAGAGAUCUGGAGGAAUACCGGUGGCGAAGGCGGCCCCCUGGACAAAGACUGACGCUCAGGUGCGAAAGCGUGGGGAGCAAACAGGAUUAGAUACCCUGGUAGUCCACGCCGUAAACGAUGUCGAUUUGGAGGUUGUGCCCUUGAGGCGUGGCUUCCGGAGCUAACGCGUUAAAUCGACCGCCUGGGGAGUACGGCCGCAAGGUUAAAACUCAAAUGAAUUGACGGGGGCCCCGCACAAGAA